RNAcentral lists this ribosomal RNA (253 nucleotides) under uncultured bacterium. Its description in RNAcentral is "partial 16S ribosomal RNA". It matches the Rfam family "Bacterial small subunit ribosomal RNA", at positions 524 to 776 of the family's 1533-position model. The record is from RNAcentral.
UACGUAGGGAGCAAGCGUUGUCCGGAAUCAUUGGGCGUAAAGCGCGCGUAGGUGGCCUCAUAAGUCCGCUGUGAAAGUCAAAGGCUCAACCUUUGAAAGCCGGUGGGUACUGUGAGGCUAGAGUACGGAAGAGGCGAGUGGAAUUCCUGGUGUAGCGGUGGAAUGCGCAGAUAUCAGGAGGAACACCAAUAGCGAAGGCAGCUCGCUGGGACGUUACUGACACUGAGGCGCGAAAGCGUGGGGAGCGAACAGG